GUUCUGGUGGUUCGGCGGGAGGGUCAUACCCGUUCUCAUUCCGAACACGGCAGUCAAGCCUCCUAGCGGCGAUGGUACUCAUCGUUUUAGAUGGGGAGAGUAGCUAACCGCCAGAACC
RNAcentral lists this ribosomal RNA (118 nucleotides) under Parcubacteria group bacterium GW2011_GWA1_56_13. RNAcentral also lists the same sequence under 1 other name. The record is from RNAcentral.